UGGUCAUUACCAUGGCUUCUAGAAUGUGGGUUCUGAUUUCCUGUGGACAUGACCAUAAUAAACACACGCAUACCGGUCAAUGUGUAUGCGUGUGUUUGCUAGCAUUCAGCCAAUCGGGGACACCG
This 125-nucleotide small nucleolar RNA is filed under the name Echinops telfairi (small Madagascar hedgehog). RNAcentral describes it as "Small nucleolar RNA SNORA32 (ENSETEG00000021198.1)". Lineage: Eukaryota; Metazoa; Chordata; Mammalia; Afrosoricida; Tenrecidae. The record is from RNAcentral.